GCGGCGCCACGAAUCAAAUGAUAGUGUACGUCGUGCCUGUCUAGCUAGCGCAUCGCUUUGGCAGGUGCUUUGCCUGUUUUCUGUACGUACCGGUAUCUUGAGAAAUUUGAAGAGUGCGCUUGGAAGAUCUGAACAAGACCAACCGAUUUCAAAACUCAAGCUAUGGAAACUUACCUCGGAUAUUUACUAAGAUGUCAAAUUAUUUUUGUGCGACAGUGAUAUGGCGAACGUAAAAGUAGCCGUCCGUGUACGGCCUAUUUGUAAAAGAGAGGAAGAUGCAAAAGCCACAAUAGUUGUGAAUGAAUACCAGGAAAAUGUAUUGGGUGUGGCAAAUCCUAAGAUUGAAGGCAUAGAGGGAUGCAGUGAUCAUCGGGACCGUAUAAAGCACUUCUCCUUUGAUUACUGUUACUUCUCCCUUGAUAAAAGUGCUCCAAAUUAUGCCUCACAGCAGACGGUAAGUCGCCUUGUCACCAUUGCCCUUUCAGAGUUUAAAAGCAUUUUGAAUUUGUCUAAUCUUGUUUUUGAAAUGCAUCCAGUGCAUAAGAGAGAAUUCAUUUAUGCUGUAUAUUUUGUCACGUUGCCCUUUUGCUAAUCUGAAAAGUGUUGUAAAUUUGAUUUCAUUUUGUGUAGAAUAUAUUUAGAUUUGUCAGAAUUUUCAUAUGCAUGUGUGAUUUUUUAAUUUAAUCCAAAGAACAAAUGGUAUUUUUACUAUGAUAUUUGAAUUUUGGAGUAUUACAUGUACCAUACAGCAUGCAAUUUCAAAAUGUUUUUGCCAAUGUGCAAUGCUCACUGAAGGUAUAAUUUGUUUAUUUGUAUUCCAUUGUUGGCUCAUUUAUGCCAAAACGCUAAUCUUCAUUUGUUUGAUGUGUGCGUAUUUUAGUUAUGAAACUAAAGUGCAUAGAUUUUUCAUAUUUGUGUACAAUUCAUGAAAUAAUGCAAAUAAACAUUACAUUUAAUAUGAUUAUAUAAUUUUCAAAGUACAUAUUAAAAGAAACAAAUAUGCACAUGAGCUGGAUUAAGUUUGUCCCUUCAAAAUUUAUGAAAUCGAAUUUCCAUACGUAUUGAGUAGAAAAGAUCUCAUUGGGCAUGCUCUUCCGUAGAUCUAUACAAAGAGUCAUAUUCACAGUCAUUAUUAAAGCUAUUGUUUAGGUUAAAGUGUUCCCAGGACAAAGGUAUUUCAUUUUGUCCCUGACAGCUUUGACAAAUGAGAGGAAAUAUGCAAGAUUAAAGAAGAGAGUCAUUGACUGCAUCCAGUGUCUAUUCACAUCUGACAGAGAAUGAUAAAUACUUGUUCUUUCAUGAAUAGUGAUCUGGAAAUUGUUUUAUUGAUUUUCGUUUGAUAUUGAGUUUUUUGUGUGCUGUUUGGUAUUUUGGGUUUAUCUGCUGGAACCAUUACAAGGCAUGCAUCUCAUUCCCUUUAUUAAAACCUGAAUUCACUAUUCUAGUUUGAAUAGGUACAUGUAAACUUGAAAUAAUGAUAAACAUGCUAUGUAGAAUGGAAUGAAAAUAUUAUUAUUUUGAUUGCUUUAAUCAAUGCUAAUAGUAUUAACAAGGUAUACUUCCAGAGUAAAACAUGAUUUUCAAGGCUGAAAUAAACAAAGGCUGACAGAAUAUUGAUAAUGCUAUCCAUAUUACUUUGAUACCAAACUACAUGAUCUUACAUAUGGUCUCUGAAAUACAAUUGUUCAUUUUGCUUUGUUUUAGAACAAAGUUUUUGAAAUACACAUAUUUUGUGUAUAUUGAAUUAUUGAAUGAGCCAGUAAGCGUCUCCUGAGUCUUGGUGUCUUUUGACCUCAUUCAGAAGAGUAAGAUCAAGUAGAUGCAAUCCAGUACUGUAAUUGGAUUAGAAACCUUUUACUGACAUAACCUGGAGUACAUUUGGCUUAAAAGCACAAUUUAUUCAACAAAUAAACAGGAACCUGAUUAAUAUGCUCUUCUCUUUAUACUUUCUAGUUUUUCUUUGCUGUGAUACAAGUUUCGUUAUCCACAGAAAUCCAGUGUAAUACAUACACACACCUUAAAAAAAUAUCAGACUCAUUUUUCGAUUAAUACAAUACUUAACAUAAUUUCAUCACAGCUUCAUAAGUGCAUAGAAAUAGUCAUACAUGUAUACCAGUCAACUACAAGUACACACUGUUAAAAAUAAUUUAAACAAUGCUGUUUACUAUGUGAAUCGCAUUGUAGUUGUUUAAACAUUUUAAUCAAGUGUUUAAAAUCUCAAACAACCAUGCUUAAAUUAUUGAUGAUUAAAUAUUUGAAUUUAAACUUUGUUGUUUAAGAUUUUAAACACUUGUUUAAAAUGUUUAAACAGCUAUUGUGUGAUUCACAUAAUAAACAGCGUUGUUUAAAUCAUUUUCAACAGUGUACAUGUAGUCUUCUGACUUUCAAACAGAGGGUCAUCAUGGGUUCGAAUGCCAGCCAUGGCAUAAUUUCCUUUGGCAAGAAAUUGAUCCACAUUGUGCUACACUCAACCCAGUUUAGUAAAUGGGUACCUGGCAGGAAUCUAUUCUUUUUAUGCUUCUGCUCUGUAAAAGGCUGCAGGGCAUAAGCCACCUACAUGUACUAUCCAACAAGUCCAUGGGAAGUGCAUAGGGACGUUGUAUCAUAAUCAAGAACUUUAUAUAUACAUGUAUUAUAUUGUUAUUCCGAUUUGACAUACAAAUGAAGCAAAUACAAAAUAGUUUAGAGUUAGAAAUUUGAAAUUGAAUUUGAAAUUUUCAGCAAAAGGAGGACUCAGAACAGCUGUGUAGGUAUGCACCUCUCAUCUGAAAUAAAACAGCAUCUAGAGGCUAUUGAAGAUCUGAAUGGUAUAAUGCCACAUCAUGCUUUCAUACACUUCCCAUUUUCCCCAGGCCAGUGUGAGUUUGUAGUGUACAUUCCCUCUCUUUUUUGUUGUCUUGGUGGUUACUUCAUGCAGCUGCCUUAAAUUUGAGCUUACCCGAGCGCACACGAUGGGUAGAAGUCAAUCAUCCCCGACCAAGCGUCCUAUCACGAAACAGAUGUGUGAAAGAUGGGAUAGCGAUGAAAAAAAACAGACCAAGAGGAAGGGUCUCUAGGGCAUGCAGUGUAACAAAUUACCUACUGGUUGUCCCCUUGGGAAUCUUUGCCAAUUUUUAUUCUGGAUAUUGGGCUGUGGAAGAAAGAGAGAGAAGUCGGUAAAAUAGAGGGAGUAGGGGAAGGGACAUUUUUGCCACUUUCAAGGGCUAUUUCCAACAUUUAAGAGCAAAAAUUGCCCUUUUCUCCAGUGUAUCUUUGUAGGUGACAAAUAAAUUUUCUUUGCUAUUGGGCCUAUUAUAUUUUUUUGUCAUCAUACACUGUAGAUUUUUAAUUGUGAUUUGUUGUGUUUUUAUGUCGAUAAAGAAUUUAAAAUGUUGACAAUUGUAUUUAAGCUCCUGAAGCACACAAGGUGAAAAUAAAUCAUGAGAAUAUUUUGGUUUUAGUAACGCGGUGUUAGACACAAGAAGUGAGCUGUUUGUAAAGAAUUAAAGAAUACUAUUAAAGGUAUUCAAUCAUUGAGGGGACAAUGAUAAUAAAACUCAAAAAGAAAAAAAGGUGAUGAAUAUAAUUCAGAUUUUGACCUACUGUACCAAAGGGAAAAAUUUGAGAGGAGGUUCAAAAGUGAU
This is a long non-coding RNA of Lytechinus pictus (painted urchin), 3623 nucleotides long. RefSeq lists it as uncharacterized. Lineage: Eukaryota; Metazoa; Echinodermata; Echinoidea; Temnopleuroida; Toxopneustidae. The transcript is spliced from 3 exons. The record is from RefSeq and is a predicted model, not a curated record.